AGGGGUGUAGUUCCAACGGCAGAACGUCGGAUUCCAAAUCCGAAUGUUGGGAGUUCGAAUCUCUCCACCCCUGCCA
RNAcentral lists this transfer RNA (76 nucleotides) under Psychromonas antarctica. Its description in RNAcentral is "tRNA-Trp". It matches the Rfam family "tRNA". From Rfam's summary of the family: Transfer RNA (tRNA) molecules are approximately 80 nucleotides in length. Their secondary structure includes four short double-helical elements and three loops (D, anti-codon, and T loops). RNAcentral also lists the same sequence under 10 other names. The record is from RNAcentral. Lineage: Bacteria; Pseudomonadati; Pseudomonadota; Gammaproteobacteria; Alteromonadales; Psychromonadaceae.